This 73-nucleotide transfer RNA is filed under the name Ictidomys tridecemlineatus (thirteen-lined ground squirrel). RNAcentral describes it as "Spermophilus tridecemlineatus (thirteen-lined ground squirrel) tRNA". It matches the Rfam family "tRNA". From Rfam's summary of the family: Transfer RNA (tRNA) molecules are approximately 80 nucleotides in length. Lineage: Eukaryota; Metazoa; Chordata; Mammalia; Rodentia; Sciuridae. The record is from Rfam by way of RNAcentral. RNAcentral also lists the same sequence under 1 other name.
GGUGAUAUAGCUCAGUUGGUAGGGUGCUUGCCUAAUGUGCCCAAGAUCCUGGGUUCAAACCCCAGCACCACCA